CUUAACACAUGCAAGUCGAGGGGUAGCGGGAAGUUAGCUUGCUAACUUUGCCGGCGACCGGCGCACGGGUGAGUAACGCGUAUCCAACCUUCCCCUUAGUAGGGCAUAGCCCGUAGAAAUGCGGAUUAAUACCCUAUGUUAUUCGUCGAUGACAUCUGAAGUGAAUCAAAGGUUUACCGCUAAGGGAUGGGGAUGCGUCUGAUUAGGCAGCAGGCGGGGUAACGGCCCACCUGGCCGACGAUCAGUAGGGGUUCUGAGAGGAAGGUCCCCCACAUUGGAACUGAGACACGGUCCAAACUCCUACGGGAGGCAGCAGUGAGGAAUAUUGGUCAAUGGUCGAGAGACUGAACCAGCCAAGUAGCGUGCAGGAUGACGGCCCUAUGGGUUGUAAACUGCUUUUAUGCGGGGAUAAAGUGAGGGACGUGUCCCUUUUUGUAGGUACCGCAUGAAUAAGGACCGGCUAAUUCCGUGCCAGCAGCCGCGGUAAUACGGAAGGUCCGGGCGUUAUCCGGAUUUAUUGGGUUUAAAGGGAGCGCAGGCGGAGGCUUAAGCGUGACGUGAAAUGUAGCCGCUCAACGGCUGAGUUGCGUCGCGAACUGGGUUUCUUGAGUGAGUGCGACGUCAGCGGAAUUCGUGGUGUAGCGGUGAAAUGCUUAGAUAUCACGAAGAACCCCGAUUGCGAAGGCAGCUGACGAGCCCUUUACUGACGCUAAAGCUCGAAGGUGCGGGUAUCGAACAGGAUUAGAUACCCUGGUAGUCCGCACGGUAAACGAUGGAUGCCCGCUGUUGGCGAUAUACAGCCAGUGGCCAAGCGAAAGCGUUAAGCAUCCCACCUGGGGAGUACGCCGGCAACGGUGAAACUCAAAGGAAUUGACGGGGGCCCGCACAAGCGGAGGAACAUGUGGUUUAAUUCGAUGAUACGCGAGGAACCUUACCCGGGCUUGAACUGCAGCAGACGAUAGAGAGAUCUUGAGGCCCUUCGGGGCUGCUGUGGAGUGCUGCAUGGUUGUCGUCAGCUCGUGCCGUGAGAUGUCGGCUUAGUGCAUAACGAGCGCAACCCCUUCGUCAGUUGCAUCAAGUGAUGCUGGGCCUCCGCGACCUGCCCCGCAGGGGUGAGAAGAGGGGGAUAACUUCAAUCAACACGCCGUACUCGGCUUACACAGUGUUCAAUGGGGAGAUCAGAGUAGGGCUGCACCGCCUUAUCAUAGCUCUCAUCGAAUGGGUCGACGACCUGACGAUUCGUAUUCGCCAUGACAUGCCGGUACUCGGUCUGAC
Molecule: ribosomal RNA, 1275 nt
Filed under: uncultured rumen bacterium
Lineage: Bacteria
Description: partial 16S ribosomal RNA
Rfam family: Bacterial small subunit ribosomal RNA
Source: RNAcentral